CAGACCUCUAAUCGGAAAAGACUACCCGCUGAGUUUAAGCAUAUCACUAAGCGGAGGAGAAGAAACUAACCAGGAUUUCCC
RNAcentral lists this ribosomal RNA (81 nucleotides) under Scorpidium scorpioides. RNAcentral describes it as "partial 25S ribosomal RNA". It matches the Rfam family "Eukaryotic large subunit ribosomal RNA", at positions 1 to 80 of the family's 3401-position model. RNAcentral also lists the same sequence under 4 other names. Lineage: Eukaryota; Viridiplantae; Streptophyta; Bryopsida; Hypnales; Amblystegiaceae. The record is from RNAcentral.